CAUGCUAGUCGAGCGAGUUGAGACUCGCGGCGCACAGCUCAGCAACACGUGGCCAAGCUACCCUUCAGUCAGCGAUACCCUCGGGAAACUGAGGUUAACAGCUGAUACAAAACGCCAGCUGGAAUGCGGCGUUUCAGAAAGAGACCGCUGAAGGAUGCGGCUGCGGCCGAUUAGGUAGACGGUGAGGUAACGGCUCACCGUGCCCAUAAUCGGUACGGGUUGUGAGAGCAAGAGCCCGGAGACGGUAUCUGAGACAAGAUACCGGGCCCUACGGGGCGCAGCAGGCGCGAAAACUUUACACUGCACGACAGUGCGAUAAGGGAACUCCGAGUGCGAGGGCAUAUCGUCCUCGCUUUUCUGUACCGUAGGGAGGUACAAGAAUAAGAGCUGGGCAAGACCGGUGCCAGCCGCCGCGGUAACACCGGCAGCUCGAGUGAUGGCCGAUAUUAUUGGGCCUAAAGCGUCCGUAGCCAGCUGAACAGGUCCGUUGGGAAAUCUGCUCGCUCAACGAGCAGGCGUCCGGCGGAAGCCAGUCAGCUUGGGACCGAGAGGACCGAAGGGUACGUCCGGGGUAGGAGUGAAAUCCCGUAAUCCUGGACGGACCACCGAUGGCGAAAGCACUUCGGUAGAUCGGAUCCGACGGUGAGGGACGAAAGCUAGGGUCACGAACCGGAUUAGAUACCCGGGUAGUCCUAGCCGUAAACGAUGCUCGUUAGGUGUGGCGCAACUACGAGUUUGUGCCUUGCCGCAGCGAAGGCGAUAAACGAGCCGCCUGGGAAGUACGUCCGCAAGGAUGAAACUUAAAGGAAUUGGCGGGGGGAGCACUACAACCGGAGGAGCCUGCGGUUUAAUUGGAUUCAACGCCGGA
RNAcentral lists this ribosomal RNA (868 nucleotides) under uncultured archaeon. RNAcentral's name for it is "bacterial SSU rRNA". It matches the Rfam family "Archaeal small subunit ribosomal RNA", at positions 50 to 922 of the family's 1478-position model. The record is from RNAcentral.